GCCAGACUCCUACGGGAGGCAGCAGUGGGGAAUAUUGCACAAUGGGGGAAACCCUGAUGCAGCGACGCCGCGUGAGUGAGGAAGUAUUUCGGUAUGUAAAGCUCUAUCAGCAGGGAAGAAAAAAUGACGGUACCUGACUAAGAAGCACCGGCUAAAUACGUGCCAGCAGCCGCGGUAAUACGUAUGGUGCAAGCGUUAUCCGGAUUUACUGGGUGUAAAGGGAGCGCAGGCGGUACGGCAAGUCUGAUGUGAAAGCCCGGGGCUCAACCCCGGUACUGCAUUGGAAACUACCGGACUGGAGUGUCGGAGGGGUAAGUGGAAUUCCUAGUGUAGCGGUGAAAUGCGUAGAUAUUAGGAGGAACACCAGUGGCGAAGGCGGCUUACUGGACGAUCACUGACGCUGAGGCUCGAAAGCGUGGGGAGCAAACAGGAUUAGAUACCCGCGUA
This 447-nucleotide ribosomal RNA is filed under the name uncultured bacterium. Its description in RNAcentral is "bacterial SSU rRNA". It matches the Rfam family "Bacterial small subunit ribosomal RNA", at positions 330 to 792 of the family's 1533-position model. The record is from RNAcentral.